Molecule: long non-coding RNA, 591 nt
Filed under: Capra hircus (goat)
Lineage: Eukaryota; Metazoa; Chordata; Mammalia; Artiodactyla; Bovidae
Description: lncRNA (ENSCHIG00000004684.1)
Source: RNAcentral
CUUCUGAAAGUAUUGCAGAGUGUGAAGGGAAAAAAAGAAGGAACUGAUGCCAAAAACUCAUUUGUCAUAUUAACAAAUGUGAGAACGGGAGGCCCUAGAUGAGUUUCUCCCCUGGGUCUCCACCUUGAUUGCAUCCGCUAGUGAGCAUCAUUGAACAUCAGCAUAAUCUAUGUGUUCUUUCUGAUAUGGUUGGUACUGAGAGCUGACUCACAAAAUCCAGAGGCGGCAGAGCUGGAAAGCCUUUUCUCCCUCACCUUGGUGACCAACCUGGAUUAAAUUGGAUGUCUUUUCUCAGUCAUGCCAUCCUUCUUUGUAAUACAUUUUCUUUAUUUUUAUUUUUUUCAGUGUGGGGUGAUCAAAAGCCAGCAUUGCGGUGCCAUCUACAUUUCGAAGUGUUCUGCCCAUUCUGUUGUCGUUGUUGUAUCCUUGCCAGAGCAGCACGUCCCAGAGAGAUGUUCCAUCAGCCUCAGUUCCACAGUGAAGACGAAUGGACAGCAGAGAUGCACCCAAAGCACAUUGGAUAAGGCACGCACGAGCAACAUCAAAAGGCUCUUGAAAUAUUGGGAGUCCCAGAGACUGAAAGGGACCUGA